RNAcentral lists this ribosomal RNA (407 nucleotides) under uncultured bacterium. RNAcentral describes it as "bacterial SSU rRNA". It matches the Rfam family "Bacterial small subunit ribosomal RNA", at positions 28 to 419 of the family's 1533-position model. The record is from RNAcentral.
GACGAACGCUGGCGGCGUGCCUAACACAUGCAAGUCGUGCGAGAAAGUUCCUUCGGGAGCGAGUAAAGCGGCGCACGGGUGAGUAACACGUAGGUAACCUGCCCCCCAGUCUGGAACAACUAGAGGAAACUCUAGCUAAUGCCGGAUGAGACCACGAUCCCUUCGGGGGUUGCGGCCAAAGAUGGCCUCUACUUGUAAGCUAUCGCUGAGGGAUGGGCCUGCGGGCCAUUAGCUUUGUUGGUGAGGUAACGGCUCACCAAGGCUGUGAUGGCUAGCUGGUCUGAGAGGAUGACCAGCCACACUGGGACUGAGACACGGCCCAGACUCCUACGGGAGGCAGCAGUGGGAAUAUUGCGCAAUGGGCGAAAGCCUGACGCAGCGACGCCGCGUGGGUGAUGAAGGCCUUC